AAAAAUCGAGUUUUAUACUCGCUGGUUUGUUGAAGUGUGUGUUUUAUACUCGUUGAGUGUAAGUGUGUGUUGAUUUUUCUUGUUUUUAGAUCUACGUUAUUUCUACUUCUAUUUUCUCUGAAUUCUAGCAAAAAGCGAAGGAAGGAGAUGAUUUUUUGGUGUAACUCCAAAAACAAAAUUAAUGGAAGGGAGGUAAAGUGUUUCGUUGAUAAAGGGAGGAGUUUGUGGAAGGAAGCAGAUUUUUAGGAGGGAAUGGGAGGAAAUUAAAGGGGAAAUCCAAAAUUAAUUUGAAAAUCGACAAAUUUAAUAUUUUUAAGGGAAAUAUUUUGAUGGAAAUAUUCAUCCGGUGUAAACGUUACAUGAUAAAAUAUCAUUGACUUUUUUUAAUAAAAAAUAAGAUUGAGUUAACACCUAAAUAUAUCAAACAAUACAAAUAGAGCAUCUAAAUUUAUUCGAUUUAAAUCCAUUAAGUUCCCUUCACUAUUGCUCAAUAAAUUCACAUCUGAUCCUCCUCCACUGUUGGAUUUGAAUUCACAUGGUUACAAGUACUGCCUUAUGAUCUUACAAUUUUUUUACUGGUUAUGUCCAAUUUUUCAACGAGUUUUUUAUCUCCAUAGUUCAACUAUAACUUGUUUCUGAUCGUUCAAUGUUGCAGGGUAUGCCAAGGACUAGAAAAGUUGAUUCCAGGGAGACUUAGAAACUCUUCAUUCUUGAGCAUCUUCCAAGUAAGUGUGAGUGUAUAACUUUACAACUGUACGAUUUCGACUUGAAACUGAAUAUAGUACCGGUUCUGAUUCUGUGAUUUUCUCGACAGGAAGAUGCCGCUGCAAAACUGUACCUGUAGAGGGUGUUUGAGAACGUUGCAAGUGGGGGCCUGCCUGCACUGCCAUCUCCAUUGAUCGAGAAUGCGAUUAUGAAUCUGGCCCGCAAGUUUUUUCUUUUUCUCUACUUCCAAAGUAACAGUCUCUGGAUUUCUGCAUAAUGUUGUUAGACUACUCAGCUUGUUUGAACUUCUUUUUGGUUAUUACAAUAGUUAACGAG
This 1041-nucleotide long non-coding RNA is filed under the name Linum usitatissimum (flax). RNAcentral's name for it is "long non-coding RNA (LUSI_LNC003081)". Lineage: Eukaryota; Viridiplantae; Streptophyta; Magnoliopsida; Malpighiales; Linaceae. The record is from RNAcentral.